GAGCCAGGUGUGGGAUGUAAUCUCAUGGUGAGCCAUUUUUUUAAGCCGGUCUGAAAAGCGCAAUAUUCGGGUGGGAGUGACCUGAUUUUCCAGGUGGAAAAUGAAGCACAGAGAAGUUCAGUGAUGGACCUCAGAUACUACCAGCAGAAAGCAGAAGAGCUAGGAUUUCAACUUAGGAUGUCUGGAUCCACAGUCUGCACUCCUACCCACUAUGCUACACUGCCUCUAACUAUGAGGAAGCAAGGGCAUUUUUUUUUUUCUGGUGACUAAAAAGAUAAGAGUUCAAGUAUGUGGCUCCUGAUAAUCUAACUUAUACAGCCUGGAAAAAUUGAUAGUUACUAUAUCCAGACUGUCUCAUUCAAUUAACAGUUUCUCAAGUAAUCUUCUAGUUACUGUCGUAUUUUAUCUGUAUCAACUUAGCAAACCAAGUCCAAAACAUUUUAUAUGUGUCUAUCUUUCCUGCUGUUCAUAUUAUUGAGUUAGCCAAAUAAAUUCAAUUUUUUUUCUACUGUUUGUUUCUCACAA
This 525-nucleotide long non-coding RNA is filed under the name Homo sapiens (human). Its description in RNAcentral is "HSALNT0320317". Lineage: Eukaryota; Metazoa; Chordata; Mammalia; Primates; Hominidae. The record is from RNAcentral.